GAAAGUAAUAAAGAGCGUAUGGGGGAUGCCUAGGCUCUUGGAGGCGAAGAAGGACGUGGUAAGCUGCGAAAAGUCGCGGGGAUUUGCAAACGAGAAUUGAUCCGCGAAUAUCCGAAUGGGACAACCCGGCAGGCAGAAGGCCUGUCACCCAGCAAUGGGGGCUAACCCUCUGAACUGAAACAUCUAAGUAGGAGGAGGAGAAGAAAGAAACAUCGAUUUCCAAAGUAGCGGCGAGCGAAAUGGAAGGAGCCCAAACCGGUAUUGUUACGGCAAUGCCGGGGUUAUAGGACUGCGAGAUUCGAAGGACAAAGAACUGGAAAGAUUUGGAAAAGUCGACCAUAGAGAGUGAAAGUCUCGUACAGGUAAUUGAGUUCUAAGAUAGCAGUAUCCUGAGUAUGGCGGGACACGAGGAAUCCAGUCAGAAUUCGCCGGGACCACCCGGUAAGGCUAAAUACUCCCAAGAGACCGAUAGUGAACCAGUACUGUGAAGGAAAGGUGAAAAGAACCCCGAACAGGGGAGUGAAAAAGAACCUGAAACCAUACGCUUACAACCUGUCGGAGCGGCUUCGUGCCGUGACGGCGUGCCUAUUGAAUAAUGAGCCUACGAGUUACUAAUCACUGGCGAGGUUAAGUGCUAGGAAGCACGGAGCCGAAGCGAAAGCGAGUCUGAACAGGGCGUUUAGUCAGUGGUUGUAGACGCGAAACCUUGCGAUCUACCCUUGAGCAGGAUGAAGGUUGGGUAAAGCCAACUGGAGGUCCGAACGAAUAAGCGUUGAAAAGCUUCUCGAUGACUUGAGGGUAGGAGUGAAAGGCCAAUCAAGCUGGGAAAUAGCUCGUACUCCCCGAAAUGCCUUUAGGGGCAGCGUUGUAAUAAAGAGUCUACUGGAGGUAGAGCUACUGAUUGGAUGCGGGGGCUUCACCGCCUACCAAAUCCCGACAAACUCCGAAUGCCAGUAGUAUGAUUUACAGCAGUGAGCCACCGGGUGCUAAUGUCCGGUGACAAAAGAGGAACAACUCAGACCAGCAACUAAGGUCCCCAAGCGUAUGCUAAGUUGAACUAACGAUGUUUUGUUGCAUAGACAGCUAGGAUGUUAGCUUGGAAGCAGCUAUUCAUUCAAAGAGUGCGUAACAGCUCACUAGUCGAGCGACAAAGCGUGGAUAAUAAACGGGCAUCAAGCAUACCACCGAAGUUCUGGGCGCGAAAGCGCGGUAGGGGAGCAUUCCAUUCAGCGUUGAAGCAGCGUCGUGAGAUGUUGUGGAGCGUAUGGAAAAGCAAAUGUAGGCAUGAGUAACGAUAAUGCGGGAGAGUAACCCGCACACCGCAAGACCAAGGUUUCCUGAUCAACGCUAAUCGGAUCAGGGUUAGUCGGGUCCUAAGGGUAAGCCGAACGGCGAUCUCGAUGGAUAAUCGGUUAAUAUUCCGAUACUGACAUAUACCUCGAUGGAGAGACGAAAUCGCGUAAGUACCGCCUCCUGACGGAAUAGGAGGUUAAAGGGCGUAUGUAUAGGGGCAGAUUAAGAGUCAGUCCUUGCUGAAACCCGACAGUACAGAGAGCCUACGGGCAAUUUGAUAGUGUACCCAAGCAUGUUUCCGAGAAAAUCUUCUAAGUUAUAGUAUAUGUCACCCGUACCGUAAACCGACACAGGUGGUCGAGGAGAGUAUCCUAAGGUGCUCGAGUGAAUCACGGUUAAGGAACUAGGCAAAUUAACCCCGUAACUUCGGGAAAAGGGGUCCCUACGCGAGUAGGGCGCAGCGAAGAGGUCCAGGCGACUGUUUAUCAAAAACACAGGGCUCUGCAAAUUCGAAAGAAGAAGUAUAGGGCCUGACACCUGCCCGGUGCUGGAAGGUUAAGAGGGGAUGUCAUCGCAAGAGAAGCAUUGAAUCGAAGCCCCAGUAAACGGCGGCCGUAACUAUAACGGUCCUAAGGUAGCGAAAUUCCUUGUCGGGUAAGUUCCGACCUGCACGAAUGGUGUAACGAUC
Molecule: ribosomal RNA, 1981 nt
Filed under: gut metagenome
Description: bacterial LSU rRNA
Rfam family: Bacterial large subunit ribosomal RNA
Source: RNAcentral